UACGGAGGGAGCUAGCGUUGUUCGGAAUUACUGGGCGUAAAGCGCACGUAGGCGGCUAUUCAAGUCAGAGGUGAAAGCCCGGGGCUCAACCCCGGAACUGCCUUUGAAACUAGGUAGCUAGAAUCUUGGAGAGGUCAGUGGAAUUCCGAGUGUAGAGGUGAAAUUCGUAGAUAUUUGGAGGAAUACCUGUGGCGAAGGCGGCCUUCUGGACCGGUCCUGACGCUGAGACGCGAAAGCGUGGGGAGCAAACAGG
This 253-nucleotide ribosomal RNA is filed under the name uncultured bacterium. RNAcentral describes it as "partial 16S ribosomal RNA". It matches the Rfam family "Bacterial small subunit ribosomal RNA", at positions 524 to 776 of the family's 1533-position model. The record is from RNAcentral.